Molecule: transfer RNA, 64 nt
Filed under: Mordellidae sp. GENSP01
Lineage: Eukaryota; Metazoa; Arthropoda; Insecta; Coleoptera; Mordellidae
Description: tRNA-Thr
Source: RNAcentral
GUUUUAGUAAUUUAAUAAAAAUAUUGGUCUUGUAAAUCAAACUUAAGUAAGUACUUCUAAAACU